Molecule: long non-coding RNA, 1499 nt
Organism: Helianthus annuus (common sunflower)
Lineage: Eukaryota; Viridiplantae; Streptophyta; Magnoliopsida; Asterales; Asteraceae
Exons: 2
Source: RefSeq, a predicted model, not a curated record
GUUAAAACUUAUCAAAUUCAUGUAUACGUGUACCCUAAUUCCACAAUCCACAAUUUGAAGGAACCUUACAUAAUUCGUGUCCCACUUCCAUUUGUUUACGUGUCCUCACAAAACGUAAACAUUAAGUAAAAUUCAAGUAUAUAUAUAGGAAGUUGAAAAGCCAUUUGAAAUGCUCAGAUCCUUCUUUCUUUCUCACUCGAUCUAUGUUCCAUAUUUUUUCUAAAUAUUACACCCAAAGCGCUGCCCCGUUUUAAGUGUUUUAACUCCCGAUCACCGCUACCCUUUCUGAUUGAUCUGAAGCCCAUAACGCAUGUCAGGGCACUGCUCGACUAAGUUUGUUGGGAUUCUGUCUCGGGACAUAGUCACAGACACCAUUGGACUCUGAGGUUACCAAUGGAUGGUCGAGUGACAAAUACUGUGGGUAGUUGGUUGAUAUAUGGAAACAUUGUAAUUACAGUAGAUUGGAAUAAGAGUUGGACACGACACCAAAAAGGCUUACAGAAGUGGCUUGAUUUAUUAAUUAUAUCAAAUUAAGAAAUAUUGUUUUAUGUAAUUGGGUUAUCCCUUAUUGAAGCUACCUUUGUAAAACAUGGAUUUAUCCCAUCUAUUUAAUAAAUAAAAUCCGGUGUUUUCUAAACUCUGAUAUUUUUCCUAACUCACGGUCCUGAUGAAAUUUCCGCUACAAUAUUUUUCAAAAUAAUCACCGGUACCACUUGGCUGUUCGCGGCUCCCGAUUCCGUCCAGGGUGGGUCGGGGGUCGUGACAAUAUGUAUGUGUGAGCUAAGGUGUGCAUGUGUAUAGUUAUGAUUAGUUUUAUGAAUGCAUGUAAGUAUGUAGUUAUGUAUGCAGGUAGGUAUAUAUGUAGGUAAUGGUGUACGUAUGUACGUGACUAGGUAUGUAUGUAUGUAGUUAUGUAUGUAUGUAUGAAUGUAAAUACGUAUGUGAAGACGUAAUCGUGUAUGUAUGUAAGUAGAUGCGUAGGUAUGCCAGAAAAGGAAUGUAUGUAUGUACGUAGUUAUGUAUGUAUUGUAUACGUGGUUUCAAUACAUUUAAGUGUUGACGUUAUUAACAGUGUGCCUUGAGAAUGAAAUGUAAUGCAGGUGCACUAUUGAAGUUUCGCCAAGGAUUAGACACCCGGAUGGAAUGAUUAAAUCUAAAAAAAAUAACGGGAUGGAAAGUAUAUGUGGAUGGAACGUAACGAGACUACAUGAUUAAGAAUCUUGUUUGUAUAUAAUGUAUGCUAAUGUUGCGAAUGUAUGUGGUGGAUGCAGGUUGUACGAAUCACAGAUUAUCAUCACAAGGAGUAGCGAUCAAAGACCGAGUCACAAGAUAGAUUGUACGGGAAUGCUUGAGUAUGUAAAUUGAUAGACAUAAGUCAUGCUUUUAUUUUGUAAAUGAGUACGAAGGAUGCAUAUAUUGUAAAAGAGUUAUUUUAUAAUGAACUUUCAAGUAAGUCAAAACGUUUAUAAUGAAAGAAAUUUUAUGGUACGUAUUUCCGC